Long non-coding RNA from Bombus terrestris (buff-tailed bumblebee), 3046 nucleotides. RefSeq lists it as uncharacterized. Lineage: Eukaryota; Metazoa; Arthropoda; Insecta; Hymenoptera; Apidae. The transcript is spliced from 2 exons. The record is from RefSeq and is a predicted model, not a curated record.
AAGACAAAUUGUGCAUUUUCGAUCAAUUAGGUCGAAGGAAAUUAUACGUUAAGGGGUUAACCGGGUAUUUAAAGAAUUAAUAAGCUGAUUAAUCACGCACUAUACUCUGAAGAAUUCUCUAAGAAUAGGCAUUCUCUUCGAUACAGACGACUAUUUGUGUAGAAACGAGGCAAAAAUUUGGACGAGUGAAAACAUUGAAAGAGAGAUGUUACAAGAAAUGCGUCUAUAUAUACGAAUUACAGGGGUGAGAUGAGUGAGCGAGCAAGAGAGAGAGAGAGAGAGAGAGAGAAAGAACUUUGUCUGACAUUCGGACAAUGCCGGCGUGGUGCUGUCGCGUUCGGUUCCUGGUUAUGGCGGGUGCACAAUGCCUAUUGUUGAGCAACCCACCAUACAAAUGUGUGUGCCAACGCUUCCACACAACGGACUGCUCCAGGUUCCUCAUUUCGUCUCUCUGUUUCUCCUUAACGGCACACGCACGUAGCUUUUCCCUUAUAUUCUCUAUGCACCACACCAGGUUUGCGUAACUCGUGGCUUUUGGCAAGGGCAAUAAGAUCCAACGAAACGCCGCGAAAAGAGACCGAUAUUGAUUUCUUUUUUUUUUCUUUUUUGAACGGCCUGAAGGAAAGUCGCUAGGAAAUGAGCCUCACGGAUGAAACGGCAUGCUAGAAUGCGUUGAAUCUUGGAUACGGUACAACGUAAACAUGGAUUCCAUCUUCUCUGCUCGAUCAAGAAAACCUUUUUGACACCUCAAAGAAAGAUUUUAAUGCAUUUUCCGUCGAUGAAUACGCGAGCCGGAUAUUUCGUUGCUGCGACGGCUUCAAUGUAUUCCGUGUGUUUGGCUAUGCAGCGAAAAUGAAACGUAUAAUUAACGAAGCAGGAUAAUAAUUUUGUCCUGAAUUUUCGAUAUAUAUCGUGUAUAGACGGUAUAAAGGGUAAAAGUAACAAUAGCAGAUUACAAUACCGCGAUUGAAGUGGACUUGUAAUCAUAAUGUAUAUAUCCAUUUAAUAAUAAUAUAUGUGAAAGUAAAAUAAUAUAAAUUUGCGAAUAAUUUUUGCCAAUUAGUUAUUACCUAUAUUUAUUAUAAAUAACUGAUAUAUCUCUCCUACAUAUUAUUCGUUAACUAAGAUGAAUACAGAUAUAUGAAUUCUUUAAAUAGAUGGAGACUAUAAAUACAUAAUUAUACAUAUGAAUAAAAUGUAUAUCAUACAAGGAGUAAAACAAAGAAAUAUUCUUUAUUUGAAGCAGAAAGGAAAUAUUAAUUUUGAUUCAUCAAUGAAUUAAUACACAAAGGGUAUUCAUAUUCAUUUUAUGCUAACAAACAGAGAAAUAAAUUUAAUUAAAUUUAAUUAAAUAAAAGGUAUCGUCUAAUUUUAUACAAGCUAUUUCAUAAAUUAUUUUUCUUCGUUUCUGUCUUUAUAUAGUUAUACACAUAAUUCGUAAUAGAAAUAUCAAGCCAAAUUGUACAACCAUAAUCUAUCUUUUAUCAGCAACGAUAAUUUAUAAAGCAAGAUCGACUGUUUUGUUAUUGUAUUACUGGGUCGAAUGAAAUUGUUAUCAAUUAUUUAUUUCAUAUUAGGCCAUCUUAAAAACAAGUAUCAUGUAUGUUGACCAUGAAUGAGAGACUGCGCAAUGUGUUAAAUAGACAGUUACAAGCAAACGCACGUGAAAAAUGUGUAAUUUUUUCACGUUUUAUCAAGAUUUUAUAAAACAUAAACUUGAGAUGGUGAUCGAAAUUCAAUUUUUUAUUCCGCUACCUUUCCAUAGCGAAAGUUUUAACAUAAGUUGGUUAGUAUAACGAUAAAAUUUUAUUUUUGUUCAUUUUCUAAUUUAAUUUCAUUAUGUAAUUACCGAAAAUUUAAUAAAUGCACAAACAUAUACAGAUACGUUAUCGUUAAUAAACUUUGUUCGAUUUACGUGGAAUUAAUAUACGUGAAUUGCAUCAUGUAUCAUCGAUCAGUAAAUUUUGAAACGCUGAAAAAAUUUGAGGUAUAAUAGAAGAAAUGUAUCAAGAAACUGAAGGUAACGAUAUCGAUGAUAAUGGUAUCGAUAAGACGACAUUUUACAAAAAUAUUUUCUUACAUCACCUAACGUACUACAGAUAAGAUUGUUGAUAAUGUUCUUUGAUAUUUAAUCCAUUUUGUACCUCAAUCUCGAAGUGCAUGUACAACGCAAAGCUAUCGUAUUUCCGAAACAAAAAUGUAGUCUUAAAUUUCCUAGUGUUCCUGUUUUGAAAGUUUCAAAUUAAUGUGGAAAAAUAGCUACAAGCACCAAAUCAUUUUCUAUAUACAUCUAUCAAAAUUAUUCAUUUCUUUGCUUCAUAUUAAAGAUUUUAUUAUUGUUUUUAGAAUCUCAAUAAACGUCAUUCGAACAGACAGAACUGAUAUUUUUGGAUGCAAGUGCAUGUUAUACUAGUGUAAUUGUCAUACAGAGUACGUUCUAAGUGAAUUAAAUUCUCAAAUUAUCAUAAAUUUCGUAAGUAUGUAGACUGACGAAACAUAUUCGUUUAUCUAAUUAAAGUACUAUGAAGUGACUUUUAUUUAUUUCAUCGUGUCUUUACGCUGUUGAUUUUAAUACAGAUAAGUGUUCUUCCUACAGAACAUUGUAACGUAAUGUGGACAGAAGAUUGUGAUUGAGGACAUUCGCUCAUUGACAUUUAGUAUGAAAAUUUACUGUUAACAUUUAUCAUAUCUUGCGCGACAUACAUCCGAAGAAUGAAUUUUCUAUUCCGAACAUUUGGUGUUCUCAAUAUAAAAUAUACUGUUGAAAAAUAUUUCAGAAUAUUAGUACAGAUUGUUCGUACCGACACGUGAAACUUGGCUUCACCUCGAGAAACGAGACAUUCCGACUAGAAUGUGACUUGAUCGCUGGAAAUUCUUCCUGAGGAUCUUAAGACAACGCGCGGCAUUCUCAAAUGGGAGAAAAUCUGCAGAGAGAAGAAAAAUCUGGAAAUUUACAUACAAUGGUUACGGAAAGUAUUUGUACAUCGUUGUCUUCAUUAUAGCAUUUAUUAAUUAAUUGAGUGUAAUUAUAGGUAUCUUUGCAUCA